GUGCUUGCUUCAGCAGCACAUACACUAAAAUUGGAAUGAUACAGAGAAGAUUAGCAUG
Small nuclear RNA from Monodelphis domestica (gray short-tailed opossum), 58 nucleotides. NCBI's taxonomy places the organism in Eukaryota, Metazoa, Chordata, Mammalia, Didelphimorphia, Didelphidae. The record is from Ensembl.